CCUACGGGAGGCAGCAGUGGGGAAUUUUGGACAAUGGGCGAAAGCCUGAUCCAGCAAUGCCGCGUGUGCGAAGAAGGCCUUCGGGUUGUAAAGCACUUUUGUCAGGGAAGAAAUCGUUUGGGUUAAUACCCCGAGCAGUUGACGGUACCUGAAGAAUAAGCACCGGCUAACUACGUGCCAGCAGCCGCGGUAAUACGUAGGGUGCAAGCGUUAAUCGGAAUUACUGGGCGUAAAGCGUGCGCAGGUGGUUUGUUAAGACAGUUGUGAAAUCCCCGGGCUUAACCUGGGAACUGCAAUUGUGACUGGCAGACUAGAGUGAGGCAGAGGGGGGCGGAAUUCCUGGUGUAGCAGUGAAAUGCGUAGAUAUCAGGAGGAACACCGAUGGCGAAGGCAGCCCCCUGGGCCAUCACUGACACUCAUGCACGAAAGCGUGGGGAGCAAACAGGAUUAGAUACCCUGGUAGUCCACGCCCUAAACGAUGUCUAUUAGUUGUUGGGUCUUCAUUGACUUAGUAACGAAGCUAACGCGUGAAAUAGACCGCCUGGGGAGUACGGCCGCAAGGUUAAAACUCAAAGGAAUUGACGG
RNAcentral lists this ribosomal RNA (585 nucleotides) under uncultured bacterium. RNAcentral describes it as "bacterial SSU rRNA". It matches the Rfam family "Bacterial small subunit ribosomal RNA", at positions 338 to 916 of the family's 1533-position model. The record is from RNAcentral.